UGAGGAAUAUUGGUCAAUGGGGGCAACCCUGAACCAGCCAAGUCGCGUGAAGGAUGAAGGUCUUAUGGAUUGUAAACUUCUUUUAUCUGGGACGAAAACGGGAUUUUUAUCUCAAUUGACGGUACCAGAGGAAUAAGCACCGGCUAACUCCGUGCCAGCAGCCGCGGUAAUACGGAGGGUGCGAGCGUUAUCCGGAUUUACUGGGUUUAAAGGGUGCGUAGGUGGGCUUAUAAGUCAGUGGUGAAAUCUCCGAGCUUAACUUGGAAACUGCCGUUGAUACUAUAGGUCUUGAAUUAUCUGGAGGUAAGCGGAAUAUGUCAUGUAGCGGUGAAAUGCUUAGAUAUGACAUAGAACACCAGUUGCGAAGGCAGCUUACUACAUAUAAAUUGACGCUGAGGCACGAAAGCGUGGGGAUCAAACA
RNAcentral lists this ribosomal RNA (421 nucleotides) under uncultured bacterium. RNAcentral describes it as "bacterial SSU rRNA". It matches the Rfam family "Bacterial small subunit ribosomal RNA", at positions 355 to 774 of the family's 1533-position model. The record is from RNAcentral.